AAUCCAGUCAGAUGCCACAACAAAGGAACCAUCACCCAACACGUCGCCAAGAUGUGAACUGUGACUUCUCGUGUCCAUGAAGUGGACUAUGAUAGAGGGGAGGUUGUGUUCUCCCAUCCCUAAUAUCAGGAACUGACCUGCGGGCUGGUGGGGGCUUCCACUCAGGUUUCCAUGGACUUCCACAACAAAGGUCUCUCCAGCCUGAACUCUGUGUGGAGAUGUAGACACAUUCAUAUACUGUGUCACCAUCCCUAGUCCACCACCAACAGGCAAGAAUAGACAACUCAAACAAAAACAACAACAAAUGAUGAAACACUCACAGACGUAGUAGUUGUCUUUCACCCUCUUCUCUGACAUCCCUUGAUUCUCCACUGGAUGAUGCAUUGAGGCAGUCAGUGAAGACAGGCCCAUGAAGCGUGUGGCUGCUGCAGAGACAGCUCCCUGAGGCAGAGAGCACAACACUGUGCCGGGCCAAGGUCACGACCGCCCUCGUUGGAAUAAAUCUCAAGGAGAGACGACUCGCUGGCGUUUGCACACCCCACGGACCGCGCUGACUCCUCCAGACCAGACAGAAGGACGAUCAGAGAAAAGACAAAGGCCGCGACUGUAGAGUGGAGCGGCUGGACGGGCAGCUGCAAGUGAUGGGGUUCAUACGACUGAUAAAGGAAGAGGAUGGGAAACGAGAAAGCAGGUGCCAUGACAACAAAGGCUGCGUGAAUACAAGGUGCGUGGGGUGUGAACGCGGGGAGUGACUGUACUGUAUGCGUGAGAAGGAAUCCAAAGAGGGUGUGAACCGGGAGGAAGCGACAGGUGAAACAGAAAAAUGCAGUAAUUUGGUGUUGGUUUUGAGUAAGUAGCAAUGUCACGUCAGGGGAAAUGCAUAAAAAGUGGAUUCCAGCUCACGGUUUGGUGCCGUGACUGCUGGAAAUCACCAGCUCAUUAAAUACACAAACGCCUUCGCGUAAACACUAAUGAAACGGGCGAGUUGGGUUUU
Molecule: long non-coding RNA, 994 nt
Organism: Betta splendens (Siamese fighting fish)
Lineage: Eukaryota; Metazoa; Chordata; Actinopteri; Anabantiformes; Osphronemidae
Exons: 4
Source: RefSeq, a predicted model, not a curated record